Molecule: ribosomal RNA, 253 nt
Filed under: uncultured bacterium
Lineage: Bacteria
Description: partial 16S ribosomal RNA
Rfam family: Bacterial small subunit ribosomal RNA
Source: RNAcentral
GACGUAGGGGGCAAGCGUUGUCCGGAAUUACUGGGCGUAAAGCGCGUGUAGGCGGUUUGGUCAGUCCCGUGUGAAAGCCUCCGGCUCAACUGGAGGAUGUCGCGGGAUACUACCGGACUCGAGGACGGGAGAGGGAAGUGGAAUUCCCGGUGUAGCGGUGAAAUGCGUAGAUAUCGGGAGGAACGCCAGUGGCGAAGGCGGCUUCCUGGCCCGUUCCUGACGCUGAGACGCGAAAGCUGGGGGAGCAAACGGG